Small nuclear RNA from Xenopus tropicalis (tropical clawed frog), 180 nucleotides. Its record names the gene U2. It matches the Rfam family "U2 spliceosomal RNA". From Rfam's summary of the family: U2 is a small nuclear RNA (snRNA) component of the spliceosome (involved in pre-mRNA splicing). Complementary binding between U2 snRNA (in an area lying towards the 5' end but 3' to hairpin I) and the branchpoint sequence (BPS) of the intron results the bulging out of an unpaired adenosine, on the BPS, which initiates a nucleophilic attack at the intronic 5' splice site, thus starting the first of two transesterification reactions that mediate splicing. The record is from Ensembl. NCBI's taxonomy places the organism in Eukaryota, Metazoa, Chordata, Amphibia, Anura, Pipidae.
AUCGCUUCUCGGCCUUUUGGCUAAGAUCAAGUGUAGUAUCGGUUCUUGGCAUGGGGAGGGGUGCAUCCCAGCUAAAGGUGCAUCAGGUUUUUCACUCCCCAUUGCUGGGUGGAGAGGAACUUGAUCCUCUGGCCAAGGGGCUGGCACUAGAAUGGAGCCUGUGAUAGCGCCCCAGGAUUU